This 637-nucleotide long non-coding RNA is filed under the name Junco hyemalis (dark-eyed junco). RNAcentral's name for it is "lncRNA (ENSJHYG00000008243.1)". Lineage: Eukaryota; Metazoa; Chordata; Aves; Passeriformes; Passerellidae. The record is from RNAcentral.
CUUCAUGCUAUCCUCCUUCCCCUCUGGCAUUUAGGCAAGCAGUGAGAGACUCACUUAGGAGAAUAUACUUUGACUUAGUGAUCUCAUUCAGCAUGUUAUGCUAAAUCAUUUCAGCACGAAUACCUAUUAGUAAUCAUUUCCAGUUCCAGGAAGGAUGAAGGAGGUAUUUUGGCAUAUGAGUCAAGAACCUGCUGGGCUGUUUCUUCAGGCUGGCAAAACAGGGGAACUGUGGUGAAUUCAGAAGUUUAGUCAAACAAGCCUGAAGUUUAAUUCUUCCUGAAUGGGUUUGACUGUGACAUGCCAUCACUCCGAGCUGCAGACAGCAUCCUGCCUGCUGCUGGGCACCGAGCCUGGCACAGGGCUGGAAACCUGCACAGCUGCACUGAGCUGCUCAAAGCUGCAGCACCACGACAAAGAUGAUUCCCCUGACAAGUGGAGGACAGAAGAAGAAAUGGCAGCUGAAGCAGAAAUUCUGAAGAAGUAUUUCCAGGAAAAUUAAAGGUAAUGAUCUGAACAUUGACUUAGUCCUGCAGCACCCAAGCCUUUGCUGAAGCCUCCAGAGGCUUGUUGAAGACAACAGGGCAAGUAUCUAGAAUGAAACAAAAGAAAACAAAGCUCUUAGUUUUGUGUAGUUUCC